GGCAAAGCUGCAUCGGGUAUUUAAACCCCUUAUAAGCGGCCGUGUACUUUUUACUUAAGCUAAUAUAUGAGUCAGUUUGCCCCUAGCAAAACCCUAAACCUUUCAGCCCUGAGAAACAAUUGAGAGCAAUUCUUGACAUAUCAAAGAGCCGUCCAUUGUUCUUUGUGGAGUCCAUCGAGCCAUCUUCAUUCCUUGUCCGAUCUUGAGAGAGAGACACGUCCAGCAAGAACCGGAUCCAUCUCUAUUCAUCAAUCCAUCCUCUGAUCUUGUUGAGAGAGACACACGUCCAGCAACAGAUCCCAUCAUCCAUCCUUCUACCUCUUCUUCUUGUUCAUUUAUCAUAUCAUCCAUCAUAUAUUGCUCAUUGAACCAUUCGCCCAUCUUCAUAACUAAUCUGUUCAUCAUUUUUGCAUUCAUAUUUGAUUCAAUUCCUAUUCAUAUAAAUAAAUAAAAACUUAUAAAAAAACUUUUCUUGUCCUUUUAGGUUUAAGAAUCGGAUUCAAAGCUCUAUCGGCCGCUCGUCUAUACCGCCUUGUAAUAUAUGUCAUUCAGAAUUUAAACACAGGUUUGGCUUCACGUAUCCUACCUAACCCGUAUAAUUUACCUUAGUCUUUUCUUUUUGAAUCGAUGUUAGAAAAGUUUUAUCGAAACUGCAAUUAGUUCUUUCAGUGAAAAUUGGCUUAGCCACUCUAAAUUUUCAUGUCUUUGGCUCUCAAAUCAGUCAACCUUUUUAGAUUUGUGACCGUACUGUAAGAGAGUAAUGACUUAUCCAUCAAACAAGCCUGUCUGGCUCAGUUGGUACGGCGCAAGGCUUUAUCCCUUGUGGUCGUGGGUGUUUCUUCUUCUUUUCUCUCUACUCUAUAUAUAUUUUCCAUAUUUAAGUUUCACCUUGUGGAGUUGAGUUUGUUACUCUUCUUCUUCAUUUAUGUUACAGGUUAGAAUUUUUGCUUAACCCGCCUCUCUCUCUCUCUCUCACAAUCCAUCCUUGCUAUAAAGAUGACCAAUGUUGAGAAACAGACGAUGGCUACAAAUGGGUUCCGGCAGAAACUCCGCACAAAAUGCAAAGCCAGUAACGUUUGCAAAGGAAAACCCUAAUGAACCAUCUUGCCUUGAAAACCAAGAAACAUAGAUGUAUAGUCAUCUUACCAGAAGCACAGUAAGUUCAUUGCCACCAAUUGUAAACCAAUUCUCAUUUGCAGCUUGAGCUCAUGAAUUAAUUAUGCUCUACAAAUUUGAACAACACACUUCAGAGACUUCUGGAUCAAAAUACUUGAACUUUGAUGUUUUUGACAUUUGUUUGAGUAUACAAAGAAGAUAAUUUGGAGAAUAGGGAAGUUGAUAAGUGAAGCAAAAAAGGCACAAAACUUUUAAACAGGUCUCAGGACUUUUUCCCUGGGUUUGAGAGUUGCAGAGAUAAUUGUUUGUUUAUUUUGUUGGUUAAGAUAAGCAGAUUUGUACGUGAGUGAUGGUUUUAUGUUUGCUUGGG
Molecule: long non-coding RNA, 1486 nt
Filed under: Brassica napus (rape)
Lineage: Eukaryota; Viridiplantae; Streptophyta; Magnoliopsida; Brassicales; Brassicaceae
Description: long non-coding RNA (BNAP_LNC014486)
Source: RNAcentral